GCAGGUCAGAAAGCAGGAGCUGAUGCAGAGGCCAUGGAGGGAUGUUCCUUACUGGCUUGCUUCCCCUGGCUUGCUCAGUCUGUUCUCUUAUAGAACUAAGACUACCAGCCCAGAGAUGGUCCCACCCACAAGGGGCCUUUCCCCCUUGAUCACUAAUUGAGAAAAUGCUUACAGUUGGAUCUCAUGGAGGCACUUCCUCAACUGAAGCUCCUUUCUCUGUGAUAACUCCAGCUGCGUCAAGUUGACACAAAAUUAGCCAGUACAGAGACUGAAGACUUAGAAUAAAUCUGUCUUCUAGAGAGAGCCUGUAAAAUGAACGUGAAAAAAUGAUGCCAGAGAAAAAAAGUCAACAUUCAAGAGCAGCCCAGCAUCUGAAUCUACUGCCUGGCAGUCCUCCCUCUCUUCUGAAGCUGUCUGUUUUCAAUACUUAAACCCAGCUGAAAAGCUAAUUUGUGAACAGAGGAGGGCAAAAGCCAGCACAGGCAUACACAGUGUUCCGACGCAGCUGGAGCACAUUGCAGCUAGGGACAUUUGUAAAGACACAUGUCACUUGCCUGCUUUGCUUCUGGAAAGCCAUAUGUUCUACUCCUCAACACUUGGAGUCUGAAUUUCUCCAGAGUCUCAGCUCUGUGGUGAUGUGCCUCACCGGUGUGUGGGAAGUGGGGACAUCACAGGUGCACCAUCUGGGCUGCUAACAAGGACACUUGCACGGGCGAGUGCUGAAAUAGCUCUGGGCCACUGACUUAAUAUACAUUUUUUGAUCCACAUUUUUAAAGACAAGUUCUCCUUGAGUUACAUGUGAGCACUGGUAGGCCUAAAAUAACAAGGAUGGCUGGUUUGAAGGACUCCUUCCUGCUCUCUGUGCUGAGAUUGGCCAGCUUUCUAUCACUGUGAUAAAAAAACAAAAACCAAAAAAACCCAAAACACCCAACAUAGUCAUUUUUUAAAGAAUAAAAUGUUUACUUUGGCUC
RNAcentral lists this long non-coding RNA (971 nucleotides) under Mus musculus (house mouse). Its description in RNAcentral is "predicted gene, 41819". The record is from RNAcentral. Lineage: Eukaryota; Metazoa; Chordata; Mammalia; Rodentia; Muridae.